RNAcentral lists this ribosomal RNA (637 nucleotides) under Glabratella milletti. RNAcentral's name for it is "partial large subunit ribosomal RNA". It matches the Rfam family "Eukaryotic large subunit ribosomal RNA", at positions 1 to 400 of the family's 3401-position model. Lineage: Eukaryota; Foraminifera; Rotaliida; Glabratellidae. The record is from RNAcentral.
CACAUCAGCUCGAGUGAGGAUACGCGCUAAACUUAAACAUAUCAGUCGGCGCAGCAAUAAAAACUAACCAGGAUUCCCUUAGUAACGGCGAGUGAAGUGGGAAAUAUACUAGUUCAGCCCAACGAUAGAAUCCAUUCUUAGCUGGCUAAGCUUCUGUUUUCCAGCUGGAAGGAAUUGUAGCAUCGUAAUAACACACAUUCUUCAAAAUUAAAUUUGUGUUGUAUCUACUCAACGUAAAAAUUAUUAUUUUUAUCGCGGCAACGUAAUAAAAAACUACAUACUUUACCCAAACACACAGCGUUUAGCGCUGGAAAGCAAGUCUAUAUCAUGCCAUAGAGUGUGACAGCCACGUUUGCCAUUGGUAAACUAACGUAGCACGCAUAUAAUUUUUUUUUACAAGAUACGUAAUUCAUAAAUUAUGAGACACUCAUAAACCCUGAGUCGAGUUGUUUGGGACUACAGCUCAAAUUGUUUGGUGGUGGUAAUGACACAUCAAAGGCUAAAUAUUGGUUUUUUAUACGAUUGCAACGGAGACCGAUAGCAAACAAGUACCGUAAGGGAACGAUGAAAAGCACCCUUUUUAGCACGUGCAUCACUCUGUGUAUGCACAAGCUCCAUCGGGAGUGAAAGAGAGAGU